AGCUUGUAUCGUGAUUCGUGACGUAAGGUUACUUAUAUAUACCGGUUCAGCCUGCCUGUCCACAGUUUGUUCGAGCUCUCUAACCAAUUGGCUGCUUUUCGGAGUGUCGUUUUAACAUUACCUACCAAAAUUUAUGUGUCAAUGACAAAAUUGAAAAGAAAAUUUGCGAUCACCGACAAAUUUCUCCCAAGGCUCCAGAAAAACUUAUGCACUAGAAAAGGGAGCCGCAGAGCUAACACGGGCAACCGUCUCGAGCACGCCGUCUUAACCCACAUCCAGCACGUACCAUAGACAACUGGUCUUCCGUCUCUCUCCCUCAUCAUCCAUCCCUCUCAUAACGGUCAAGAUGGCUCGUGGUGAUGAAUGCAAAACAGCGACCAAGGCCACCAUCGCCUGCAAGCAGUUCGAUGUGGCCGCGCCUAUGAA
This is a long non-coding RNA of Aricia agestis (brown argus), 426 nucleotides long. RefSeq lists it as uncharacterized. The transcript has 2 exons. Lineage: Eukaryota; Metazoa; Arthropoda; Insecta; Lepidoptera; Lycaenidae. The record is from RefSeq and is a predicted model, not a curated record.